GAUGAACGCUGGCGGCGUGCCUAAUACAUGCAAGUCGAGCGAACAGACGAGGAGCUUGCUCCUCUGACGUUAGCGGCGGACGGGUGAGUAACACGUGGAUAACCUACCUAUAAGACUGGGAUAACUUCGGGAAACCGGAGCUAAUACCGGAUAAUAUAUUGAACCGCAUGGUUCAAUAGUGAAAGACGGUUUUGCUGUCACUUAUGGAUGGAUCCGCGCCGCAUUAGCUAGUUGGUAAGGUAACGGCUUACCAAGGCAACGAUGCGUAGCCGACCUGAGAGGGUGAUCGGCCACACUGGAACUGAGACACGGUCCAGACUCCUACGUGAGGCAGCAGUAGGGAAUCUUCCGCAAUGGGCGAAAGCCUGACGGAGCAACGCCGCGUGAGUGAUGAAGGUCUUCGGAUCGUAAAACUCUGUUAUUAGGGAAGAACAAAUGUGUAAGUAACUAUGCACGUCUUGACGGUACCUAAUCAGAAAGCCACGGCUAACUACGUG
RNAcentral lists this ribosomal RNA (497 nucleotides) under uncultured bacterium. RNAcentral describes it as "partial 16S ribosomal RNA". It matches the Rfam family "Bacterial small subunit ribosomal RNA", at positions 28 to 507 of the family's 1533-position model. The record is from RNAcentral.